RNAcentral lists this ribosomal RNA (481 nucleotides) under uncultured bacterium. Its description in RNAcentral is "partial 16S ribosomal RNA". It matches the Rfam family "Bacterial small subunit ribosomal RNA", at positions 28 to 507 of the family's 1533-position model. The record is from RNAcentral.
GAUGAACGCUGGCGGCGUGCCUAACACAUGCAAGUCGAACGGAGAUUACGGACGGAAGUUUUCGGAUGGAAGCCUGUAAUUCUUAGUGGCGGACGGGUGAGUAACGCGUGGGCAACCUGCCCUAUACAGGGGGAUAGCAGCUGGAAACGGCUGGUAAGACCGCAUAAGUCGGUUAAAUCGCAUGAUUUGAUCGGGAAAUGAGCAAUCAGGUAUAGGAUGGGCCCGCGUCCGAUUAGCCAGCUGGCAGGGUAAAAGCCUACCAAAGCGACGAUCGGUAGCCGGACUGAGAGGUCGGACGGCCACAUUGGGACUGAGACACGGCCCAAACUCCUACGGGAGGCAGCAGUGGGGGAUAUUGCACAAUGGAGGAAACUCUGAUGCAGCGACGCCGCGUGAGUGAAGAAGUAUUUCGGUAUGUAAAGCUCUAUCAGCAGGGAAGAUGAUGACGGUACCUGACUAAGAAGCCCCGGCUAACUACGUG